CAGGUUCCUCCUGGUCCCCGAGGCCCCGAUCGGGCGUUGCCUGCCCCGCGCGGGCGGCCGGGCAGAGGGACGAUGGUCAGUGGACGGACGGCGCCAGGGAGCAGUGCCCACGCGCGGCAGGGCGGUACCUUCAGGCCUCCAGGUGUCAUCGAACACCCUUGCGCUUGCUGUCACCCGCUGCCUGUCUGCAGGAUCCCGGAUUCCCUAUCAGGAGACCGAAAUUAGUCGGAAAAUAGGAAGCAGGUGCUUGCUUGGAUGGAGCCCUGACCCUGUGCUCACACUUGGAGGAGGAGGGCUCUGCAGGCCGCCUCCCGGAAUGGGAGGUUCCCAAGCCACUGCACUUCAGAGGGGCUGUAAUUAGAGUUGCACAUUCAUUCAGUUCCCAGUAAAGUAGAACGUGCUCCAGCCAGUGAGGAAAAGAUGUUUUUAAAAAUUAGAUUGGCCGAGUGCGGUGGCUCAUGCCUUUUACCUCAACACUUUGGGAGGUGGGAGGAUCACCUGUGGCCAGGAGUUCAAGACCAGCCUGGGCAACAGAGCUAGCCUGUCUCUAGGGAAGAAUAAAAAAAAUUUUGAGCCUU
RNAcentral lists this non-coding RNA (578 nucleotides) under Pongo abelii (Sumatran orangutan). The record is from RNAcentral. Lineage: Eukaryota; Metazoa; Chordata; Mammalia; Primates; Hominidae.